GCACCAGUGGUUUAAUGGUAAAAUCGAAGCUUCCCAUGUCUUAAUUGGCGUGGAAUCCCAGAUUACUGGGACCCAGAUGGCGUGCUUUGGCUCCGGGUUCGAUUCCCGGCUGGUGCA
This is a transfer RNA of Glarea lozoyensis 74030, 117 nucleotides long. It matches the Rfam family "tRNA". From Rfam's summary of the family: Transfer RNA (tRNA) molecules are approximately 80 nucleotides in length. Their secondary structure includes four short double-helical elements and three loops (D, anti-codon, and T loops). NCBI's taxonomy places the organism in Eukaryota, Fungi, Ascomycota, Leotiomycetes, Helotiales, Helotiaceae. The record is from Rfam.